This 253-nucleotide ribosomal RNA is filed under the name uncultured bacterium. RNAcentral's name for it is "partial 16S ribosomal RNA". It matches the Rfam family "Bacterial small subunit ribosomal RNA", at positions 524 to 776 of the family's 1533-position model. The record is from RNAcentral.
UACGUAGGGGGCAAGCGUUGUCCGGAAUCAUUGGGCGUAAAGAGCGUGUAGGCGGCCUGGUAAGUCCGCUGUGAAAGUCCAGGGCUCAACCCUGGAAUGCCGGUGGAAACUGUCAGGCUCGAGUCCGGAAGAGGCGAGUGGAAUUCCUGGUGUAGCGGUGAAAUGCGCAGAUAUCGGGAAGAACACCGGAGGCGAAGGCGGCUUGCUGGACCUGGUCUGACGCUGAGGCGCGAAAGCGUGGGGAGCGAACAGG